GGCGUGUCGCGAAGACAGAAAAACUAUAUCGUGUUUACGUUUAUAUAUAUGUGUGUGUAUGUGUGUGAUUAAGCGGCACUAACUGCAAAAAGAAAUGCGAUAAAACAACAUUAUUCGGUUCAUAACGUCUUUAAUAGAAUAAAAUGGCAGUCGGUGUUUUCGGAUACUCUGAAAAGUAAUUGUGUUCCCUUUUAGAAACGAGCUGAAUCUAACCGAUAAGGAAUAAGAGGAAGCGGAAAAAAAAGAUGGUAACUGAGUUACUCCAGCAAAGUAAUGAGAUCAUAGUUGCUGGAGAUAUUGGAGUUUGCAAGGAAAUUUCGAUCACUUUUGCCCUAAACACGUUCCGGAUGACCAUAUUGGCAUUUUCCUAAUUUGUUCAGAGGGUAAACAAGCGCGAGAAACGCUGCACAGAGUAGCAGAAAAACUUCGACCAUAACAAACAAAUAUUGCACAAGUUGGGUAAAUGGUGCAGAUGCGAACUACCACACGGUACGAGUGCAGUUUGCAUGUCUGGAAUUAGUGACAUAUGUUAUUUAAAUAAAUCAGCAAUUACGCAACGGUUCUUUCUUGUCAGUUUUCGAUAUUCCUGUUUGCAUUUUAAGUCUAGUAUUUCAAGAGACAGAUGAUUUAUGUUAAUAAGUCUCAUGAGACUAGACUAUCGCGUUACUCCGUUUUUUUUUCCUCUUUUCUCAGUACAAGUACGAGCAAUCCAGUUAUUCGCUGAUACAUGUUUGCAAAACUUUAAAAGACGUGUAGGCUACCAAGAGAAAGUGAUUUAUUUUGCAAUAUUUCCUAUACAUAAAAAAAGGAGAAUAUUGUUAGAAAACAGAAAAAAAAAUUCCACCUUACUGUUUACUCCAUUCAUAUUAUUAAUAUAAAUAGAGAAAAGAUCACGCAUUUUACAUACCAAAGUAAAGAUGUGCAAACUUUGAUAAAAAAAAAAAAGUUUUAAAAAACAGUAUUUAAAAAAUUUAAAAAAAAAAAUAAAAAA
This 991-nucleotide long non-coding RNA is filed under the name Androctonus crassicauda. The record is from RNAcentral. Lineage: Eukaryota; Metazoa; Arthropoda; Arachnida; Scorpiones; Buthidae.